Molecule: ribosomal RNA, 335 nt
Filed under: uncultured bacterium
Lineage: Bacteria
Description: bacterial SSU rRNA
Rfam family: Bacterial small subunit ribosomal RNA
Source: RNAcentral
CGCUCGACAUCAGAGUUUGAUCCUGGCUCAGGAUGAACGCUGGCGGCGUGCUUAACACAUGCAAGUUGGGCGAGGAUAUUUUGAAGAGACUUCGGUUGAUUUAGGAUAUUCUAGCAGCGGACGGGUGAGUAAAGCACAAGGACUUGUCCAAAAGAGGGGGACACCUGCGGGAAACCGGAGCUAAAACCCCAUAAGCCGAGAGGUGAAAGCAGCGAUGCGCUAUUGGAGAGACUUGUGUCCUAUCAGGCAGUUGGUGAGGUGAAAGCUCACCAAACCGAAGACGGGUAGCCGGACUGAGAGGUUGACCCCCACACUGGUACUGAGAUACGGGCCAG